RNAcentral lists this ribosomal RNA (253 nucleotides) under uncultured bacterium. RNAcentral's name for it is "partial 16S ribosomal RNA". It matches the Rfam family "Bacterial small subunit ribosomal RNA", at positions 524 to 776 of the family's 1533-position model. The record is from RNAcentral.
UACGGAGGGUGCAAGCGUUAUCCGGAUUCACUGGGUUUAAAGGGUGCGUAGGUGGGCUGGUAAGUCAGUGGUGAAAUCUCCAGGCUUAACUUGGAAACUGCCAUUGAUACUAUCAGUCUUGAAUACCGUGGAGGUCAGCGGAAUAUGACAUGUAGCGGUGAAAUGCUUAGAUAUGACAUAGAACACCAAUUGCGAAGGCAGCUGGCUACACGAAUAUUGACACUGAUGCACGAAAGCGUGGGGAUCAAACAGG